GGGUCAGUAGGUUGGUCGUGCCACCGGUACGUACUGGUCUCACUGAUUCCUCCUUCCUGAAGAACCGUAAUGCCAUUAAUUUGGUGUUGCGGGGAAACAGGACUGUUACUUUGAAAAAAUUAGAGUGUUUAGAGCAAGCUAACGCUUGUAUACAUUAGCAUGGAAUAAUGAAAUAGGACGAUCGAUCCUAUUUUGUUGGUUUCUAGGAUUGGCGUA
RNAcentral lists this ribosomal RNA (216 nucleotides) under Glomeromycotina sp. RNAcentral's name for it is "partial small subunit ribosomal RNA". The stretch from base 40 to 216 matches the Rfam family "Eukaryotic small subunit ribosomal RNA", at positions 686 to 864 of the family's 1831-position model. The record is from RNAcentral. Lineage: Eukaryota; Fungi; Glomeromycota.